AUACCCGCCCAAACCCUUCCCCAUUCCCCAAUUGUUCCUCCUGCGACUCUCAAUUCAACCAAGCCCCAGGCGAUUCGUUCAAGAUUUCAGCCGUUGGAAUUCUAAAAUCAGUCCAGUCAAGGCAUGGCUUAGCAGUGAAUUUUGAGAAGUCAUUAUGGUGAGAUUUGUUGCGUUUUUGUGAAAAUUUAGAUUAAAUUUUUAAUGCCAAGUGAUUUGCUGUGUGAAGUUCAGAAGAUAAACAUUGCCUUCCAGAAAGAGAAGGCUAUUUAUGUGUUGUUAUUUCUUCGAUUUAAAGAUGAGAAGACAUUUAUUUAUGAUGCGAAGAUUACAUUUCAGUACCUUAGUUUUAGGAUUGCUGUUCUUAGUGAAUUUUUCUUUCCUGUUUUUAAAUAACGCCAGUUUCCCUUUUCACCAUAUUCUGUUAAAUGGUUUUGAACUUUCGUAUUCAUACUACCAACCAUGUUAUUUAUAUCAAAUCGGUUGAGUAUGUGCCCAUUAGAACUUUGUUGUUGUGCUUCAACAUGUUUUGAUGCUGUAUCUUUGAUAAUGUCUGCUGUUAUUGUAUUGAUCCACAGUUCUGUUUCCUGCCAUGCCGAUCAUUCAUAUUUGCAGGUGAAAACUAUGCAUAAGUUCUUGAAUUGCGUCACAUUGCACAGUGGCUAGUUGUUACUAUGUGCUUCACGUUAUAUUAUUUCACUUGCUUCUCUGUGCUUAUAAAAUAUGACCAGGGUAGUUGCUAAGAAUCCACCUGAAUGUGUUGUGUAUAUAUUGAAGAAUUUUAACCAUUUUGUACAUUUGUGCAUUGGAAAGAACUGGACUUUUGGCUCAACAGAUGUUUAUAUUCUGCACAGCUAAGCAAGCAGGAAAUGUGGUUCUCUCCCUCUUGUUUUAAGGAUGUAAAAUUAUCCACAUCAACCGUAGUAUUGUGAUUAUAUUGUUGACGUUAUAAGGGAAAUAUGAUAAGUUCACAAAUUUGGACUCUGGUGGUUUGACAUCGUCACAGGUGUUGAGCUAUUUUUGGAAAGAUGGCCAUAAUUAGAGAAAGAAGAAAGAUGGAAAGGCAGUGAAAGAGGCUCAUGAAAGGCUCAAGGUAUGUGCUGGAUGAUAUUUCUCUGCGUCAUGGACUUCAAUUUUACUGGUUGAAAUCUGAAAAAUUGCUCUAGCAGUUUGUUAUGAUGCCUUGAAUGGCACUCUUGUUUGUUAGGAUUUUUAUUUUUUAACACAGUGAAGUUAUUUGGUUGGUUUUAAUUGAAUAAUUAGAGUGAAUGGCAGCAUAAUCACAGCAGUGACAAAUCAAAGUUCUGGUUCGAUUAAUUAUUAUUUAAUCUAUGUUAUGUCUUAAGGUUGUGAUUUGAAAUGAAAGAAUGUUACUGAAAUUCAUUUGUGUACUCUGCUUUUUCAUUGUACUCAUUAUUUUAUUUCAUUUCCUGGACAACAAUUUGAUGAAAGUCGGCUUAAAACAUUUGCAAUUCAGAGUAAGCUGAAAAUGACACUUCUAAUGUCAUCUAGUCCUGCUUGUUUAAUUAUCUCUCUGUCAUUAGUUUUUUUUUCCUUUCUUGGUGAUAUCGUUACUUGUGCACUUUUUGGUGGAAACAACAAGCAUCUGAAUCUCAAGGAAAAUUUUCAAAGUCAGAGCCUAAAGAUGAAGUGAGGCCUUGGGCAAGGAAGAAGACGAGGAACAUGGUGAGACUCUUUGUGGUGCUUGUGGAGAAGUGGUUCCAUGGCAAGUGAUUGAAGAUUGCACCAGCUAGAGCCGAGCAUAUCAAGCAAUACAAGUGUCAUUGUGCAAUAACAAGAGGGCUCUUGCUUGAUGUGGAAUAUGAAUCAUACUAUCUGUACUCUUGAUAAACUUCUCAUGUCUUUGUUGUUACAAGUAAAAUUAAUCUUGUAAAUGGCACUCCUGUUUAUGUACCGACUAUUAAUACCUGAAAUAUGAGCAAUAUAGUUUUACUUUUGCGGCAA
This is a long non-coding RNA of Olea europaea var. sylvestris, 1962 nucleotides long. RefSeq lists it as uncharacterized. The record is from RefSeq and is a predicted model, not a curated record. The transcript is spliced from 2 exons. NCBI's taxonomy places the organism in Eukaryota, Viridiplantae, Streptophyta, Magnoliopsida, Lamiales, Oleaceae.